Neurospora crassa OR74A is the source of this 1082-nucleotide non-coding RNA. NCBI's taxonomy places the organism in Eukaryota, Fungi, Ascomycota, Sordariomycetes, Sordariales, Sordariaceae. The record is from RefSeq and is a predicted model, not a curated record.
CUCUAAACGAAGGUACCAUCGACCGCCUCUGGCUAUGGUCAGAUAUCGUAAUCCAAGACCUGCGCAGAAACAAGACCAUUUGUCCACAUUUGAGCGGAUUUCCUGCACGGCCAUACAAACGCUUCCAUAUCGUCGGAUUUUCGGUUCACCUUCCUCCAGCGUGUGGCAGACGAGCCUUGGCAAUGACAAGGGUUCGCUCACGACUUUUAACACCCAAAAUACUCUUAUACAUGCUCACAGCCAUACAUUGCCAUGGUGAUUAGGCCAUAAUCUGCCUCUGCAAAGCUGGUGGAUGGUCCGUCUAAUAGCGCGGGCAUUGACUUUGCGCAGGUCAAUAUCGUAUCUAAUCUACCUCUGCGCUGACGAUGGUCGCCGUUCCGGCAGCAAAUGCCAAAGAUUGGAAUCUUGCGUCAUGAGGAGCAUACUUGGCACAUCUCGAAAACAUUACCAAUUCACAAACCUCUUUUCGAGCUAAUCCGGGCUAGUAUGCUGCUGAUACCGAAUGGUGCGACAACCCCCGGGGUUUGUUUGAUACUCUCCGAGGCUUUGCGACAACAAAGCACGAGAGUGGUCGAGCUUCUUUUCCGUCGACUUCCAUUCCACAGCCCCUACAUCCUGAGUCUGGGGUUCUAGAAUCCUUCUCUUCUUAUGCCGGAAAAUCGUCCUACGAUUGCAGCAGAGCUAACAGGAAUUGCUGCGAAAGUAGCGAACUAACAAUCCGCUUCCACUUGCUCCAAACCUGUUACAUCGCAUGUUGCCUUCGCGUCUCCUGGGUCAUUAGAUGAAACGCUAACUGACCUACGAUACAAUCCUUUGUCGAUAGACACAGCCAAAGCCGAGGCACCAAGAUGACAGUCUAACACAGUAUCUUACGAGCCCACUACAACUCAUACCACUCCACUGUGUGUAUGUCCUAUAAUCAGGCUAUCAUGGGAUACUUCGCACAACCGGCAUAGAUUUUGGCUGAUGAUGACUGAAUGGGUGAGAGUCAUAAGAAGGAGUACCCACAUCUGAACGCCUCAUUAUCCAACAGCUACGGAAACUGUAACUAGGCAGCCAGGCUUUAACCUCUCUCGGUCCCG